Trichoplusia ni (cabbage looper) is the source of this 432-nucleotide long non-coding RNA. RefSeq lists it as uncharacterized. The record is from RefSeq and is a predicted model, not a curated record. The transcript is spliced from 3 exons. Lineage: Eukaryota; Metazoa; Arthropoda; Insecta; Lepidoptera; Noctuidae.
AAAAACUAUCUGUCAGAUUGUCACUGUCAUCAAAAAUAACCUGUUGCAAAAUUUUCGAAAAUGUAAAUCUUUCAUUAUUUGGUUAUGUGUUGGCGUAAUGUUUACGUGAGUACAGACGCCGUGAACGUCGUAGCUCAGUUUGCAAUCUGGAUUGUUUGUAGUAUUGUCCUCUUCGUUGUCUUGAUAUUCUUGGUUGUUGCAGGCGUUAUAUAAACAAUAUGGCUGUCAGAAAAAAAGUGCAGACCAAGUUUCAAGAACAUCAAAACAUGGAGAAAUUAAAAGGAAAUGAAGAUGUGAAGAAUGUUUGUGAAUUGUGUAACAGUCUCAACAAGAUAUCGACUAGUCCCGUAAAGUGUGUCGUGAUAUAUAGUGAAUUGUUUGGUAAUAGUGAUUUACUAUUUACAAUAUUAAAUCAUGUUUUGCAACAGAGUU